AACCCAUGAUGAGGGCGUCUUCUCAAAAGAUCAUUAAAUCUCUCUCAUGCAUCAUAUAAUGUCUCGAGCUUAAUUUGAGUAAACAAACAGAUGUCAUUCUUCAACUU
Molecule: non-coding RNA, 107 nt
Organism: Gossypium hirsutum (cotton)
Lineage: Eukaryota; Viridiplantae; Streptophyta; Magnoliopsida; Malvales; Malvaceae
Source: Rfam